Molecule: long non-coding RNA, 826 nt
Organism: Capsicum annuum
Lineage: Eukaryota; Viridiplantae; Streptophyta; Magnoliopsida; Solanales; Solanaceae
Exons: 2
Source: RefSeq, a predicted model, not a curated record
GUUUCGAGUUGUCUCACAUAUGGUGUCUACAAAUGCCUCAAAUAUGCAAAAGUUUUUGUGUUUCCAUUGGUCAGGUAAGAAGUCAAUGACAUCACAUAACUCACAUUUAUCUCUUCCAUAAACCAAACUGUCUGUCUGUUUGCAAGUACAAGAUACACCUACAGGUCAAUGAUACAAAAGGGGGGACUACUGUGGUCUUGCUUAAUGAUCUUGCAGAAAAGCUGCUGGACACCUCAGCUUUUAAGUUGGUCAAUAGGCACUCAUUGAAUAACAAUGACAAGUCAACAAAUCCAAAACCUGUGCGUCAAAAAAAUUGUGUUCAAGCUUAAACUGAACAACUUUAAAAUAAAAGAUAGGCUUGAAAACUUUACAACCUUGAAGCUUUUCAUUCCAGAUAAGAAAUUCACAUUGCAGUACAGCUCAAGAACAGAUCCGAAGGGAAAACACAAAGUAGAGGAUAACUUUGUUCCUACGAAUCAGAAUGGCAAAUGAAUUACAGUGGUCAAUUAGGAAGAUUAUCUAACAGAUUCACAUGACGAUGAGGAUGUUACCACCUCGAAAAGAAGAACGUCAACAAGAAGGAUUGCAAAGAGAAGAAAUCUAUUCGUUGAUGAUACCGAUUUUACUGAUGGAGACAAAAAAAACAGCAAAGAAAUAGCCUUUACUCUUUACGCUAGACGUUAAAAAAUUGUGUACUACCAUAUGUUUUCCUUGUAUAGUGACUGCAAUAAUGUUUGUUAUCAUAGGAGAUUAACGAUUACUAUCCUUUGAUUUUUCUGGAAUUUAUAAAUGUAAACAUGUUUUUGAGUACUACUAGUUUAACGUA